Molecule: ribosomal RNA, 497 nt
Filed under: uncultured bacterium
Lineage: Bacteria
Description: partial 16S ribosomal RNA
Rfam family: Bacterial small subunit ribosomal RNA
Source: RNAcentral
GAUGAACGCUGGCGGCGUGCCUAAUACAUGCAAGUCGAGCGGACUGACGCGUAGAUUGCUUCUCUGUCGAUAGCGGCGGACCGGUGUGUCACACGUGGAUAACCUACCUAUGCGACUUGGCUCACUUCGGGAAACCGGAGCUAAUACCGUCUAAUAUUUUCACCCGCACGGUUCCUACGUCAUAGACGGUGUUGCUGUCACUAAUAGAUUGAUACGCGCCGCCUUAUCUAUUGCGUAAGGUAACGGGUUUCCAAGGCAACGAGGGGUAGCGGAUCUGAGAGGGUGAUCGACCAGACGGGAUGUGAGACACGGCCCAGACUUCUACGGGGGGCAGCAGUAGGGAAUCCUACGCGAGGGGCGAGAGGCUGACAGAGCAACGCCGCGUGAGUGAUGAAGGUGUGCCGAUCGGAAAACGCUGUUAUUAGGGAAGAAGAAAUGUGUAAGUAACAGUGCACAUCUUGACGGUACCUAAUUAGAAAGCCACGGCUAACUACGUG